This 115-nucleotide ribosomal RNA is filed under the name Pteropus alecto (black flying fox). The record is from RNAcentral. Lineage: Eukaryota; Metazoa; Chordata; Mammalia; Chiroptera; Pteropodidae.
GUCUACGGCCAUGCCACCCUGAACAAGCCCGAUCCCGUCUGAUCUUGGAAGCUAAGCAGGGUCGGGCAUGGUAAGUACUUGAAUGGGAGACCACCUAGAAGACCAGACGUAAAAA